CCGGAUUUAGCUCAGUUGGUAGAGCAUUUGACUGUAGUGGUAUUUACAAUUGUGGUUAUCAAAAUGUCACUGGUUCGAUUCCGGUAAUCCGGA
This 93-nucleotide transfer RNA is filed under the name Chlamydiota bacterium. RNAcentral's name for it is "Chlamydiae bacterium (freshwater metagenome) tRNA-Tyr". It matches the Rfam family "tRNA". From Rfam's summary of the family: Transfer RNA (tRNA) molecules are approximately 80 nucleotides in length. Their secondary structure includes four short double-helical elements and three loops (D, anti-codon, and T loops). Further hydrogen bonds mediate the characteristic L-shaped molecular structure. tRNAs have two regions of fundamental functional importance: the anti-codon, which is responsible for specific mRNA codon recognition, and the 3' end, to which the tRNAs corresponding amino acid is attached (by aminoacyl-tRNA synthetases). tRNAs cope with the degeneracy of the genetic code in two manners: having more than one tRNA (with a specific anti-codon) for a particular amino acid; and 'wobble' base-pairing, i.e. permitting non-standard base-pairing at the 3rd anti-codon position. Lineage: Bacteria; Pseudomonadati; Chlamydiota. The record is from RNAcentral.